AAUCAACGCUGGCGGCGUGCCUCAGACAUGCAAGUCGAACGAUUAAAGCUCUCUUCGGAGAGUGCAUAGAGUGGCGCACGGGUGAGUAACACGUAAGUAAUCUACCUUCGAGUGGGGAAUAACGUCCGGAAACGGGCGCUAAUACCGCAUAAUGCAGCGGCAUCGCAAGAUGACAGUUGUUAAAGGAGCAAUCCGCUUGAAGAGGAGCUUGCGGCAGAUUAGCUAGUUGGUAGGGUAAUGGCCUACCAAGGCUACGAUCUGUAACCGGUCUUAGAGGACGGUCGGUCACACUGACACUGAAUAACGGGUCAGACUCCUACGGGAGGCAGCAGUCGGGAAUUUUGGGCAAUGGGGGAAACCCUGACCCAGCAACGCCGCGUGAAGGAUGAAGUAUUUCGGUAUGUAUACUUCGAAAGAAUAGGAAGAAUUAAUGACGGUACUAUUUAUAAGGUCCGGCUAACUACGUG
Molecule: ribosomal RNA, 467 nt
Filed under: uncultured bacterium
Lineage: Bacteria
Description: bacterial SSU rRNA
Rfam family: Bacterial small subunit ribosomal RNA
Source: RNAcentral